AAAUUUAAUUACCUCGUCAAAAAUGGCUUUGAAAACUUAUAACUGAUGACAUUGAAGCAAAAUACGUAUAUGUUGACCUCAAAAUAGUUAUACUUUGAUCUCAAUGAAUUUAUUUCUUGAGCUUUUGUUUUAAAUAAAGUGAGAAAUGAGCUCAAAUAAAUUAAAGAUAGAAAAAUACGAAGAAAUUUUAAUUAAUCUAAGAAGAUAUUAUGUUCUGACAACAAUCUUUAAUAGAUUGUUUUACAUGAAUACAUUGAUUAGAAACAAUGCCAUAUAAAUGUAUGUAUAUAUGUAUGUAUGUCUCAAACUGAAAAGAUUGGAAUGAUUGGAGUUGGCGUUUUUUUUCUAGAAUUAAAAC
RNAcentral lists this long non-coding RNA (358 nucleotides) under Physcomitrium patens. Its description in RNAcentral is "long non-coding RNA (PPAT_LNC006463)". Lineage: Eukaryota; Viridiplantae; Streptophyta; Bryopsida; Funariales; Funariaceae. The record is from RNAcentral.